Molecule: long non-coding RNA, 551 nt
Filed under: Nicotiana benthamiana
Lineage: Eukaryota; Viridiplantae; Streptophyta; Magnoliopsida; Solanales; Solanaceae
Description: long non-coding RNA (NBEN_LNC021826)
Source: RNAcentral
CAGUUUUCUGUUGAGGUCUAUCCUGCAGAGGUACUCAAAUUGGAUUAGUGAUCGAUUUCUAGGUUUCGUCGUAAACCUAAUUGGUUAUUUCCAAUUACGUAAAUCAAUAGUUCAAACCGCACUCAAAGGUAGGGCAUUUCCCAUUUUAUAGAAGCUUCUGUACCAGAAACAAUGGUAUCUCCAAUUAUAGCCCCUCUGGGAUGUAAAAUAUCGGGAGCACAUACACAAAUGGAAUUCCUUUCUUGUACGAUACAAAAUGAAUUUCACUCAAUUACAUUACCCUUAGAGAAUACUUUUCCAGAUUAAACUUUUUCCUUUUCUGGCGGAGAUUUUGUGUAACCUCAAUUACUCCAAUUUCCAAUUUGAAAAAAGAAAGAUAUAUCUCAUUCAAAUUUCACACUGAGCUUUUGAUAUAUCCGUGAGACUGCCUACGUAUCUUGUGGUAACAAGAAUCAGGUCAAAUGUAGUUCAAACGGCAAAGUUGUUUGUUGUUUUUUCUUCGUUUUAUUUUCUCUCUUUUUUCCUUUUUUCUUUUUCUCUUUUCCUUUUUU